UCCGUAGGUGGAUCAAUCAGUCAGAGGUGAAAUCCUGCAGCUUAACUGUAGAACUGCCUUUGAUACUGUUGAUCUUGAGUCAUUAUGAAGUGGUUAGAAUGUGUAGUGUAGCGGUGAAAUGCAUAGAUAUUACACAGAAUACCGAUUGCGAAGGCAGAUCACUAAUAAUGUACUGACACUGAGGGACGAAAGCGUGGGGAUCAAACAGGAUUAGAUACCCUGGUAGUCC
RNAcentral lists this ribosomal RNA (229 nucleotides) under uncultured bacterium. Its description in RNAcentral is "partial 16S ribosomal RNA". It matches the Rfam family "Bacterial small subunit ribosomal RNA", at positions 568 to 796 of the family's 1533-position model. The record is from RNAcentral.